RNAcentral lists this long non-coding RNA (1138 nucleotides) under Struthio camelus australis. RNAcentral's name for it is "lncRNA (ENSSCUG00000006734.1)". The record is from RNAcentral. Lineage: Eukaryota; Metazoa; Chordata; Aves; Struthioniformes; Struthionidae.
CUAAAACUUGCCGCAACCCACAGCUUCAAAGGGUUCCUCGACUUCGCCCUCAGCUCAGCGUCAUCUGACAGGGGAAAAAGGGCACCAACCCGAGCAAUACCCAGCGCAACUCUUCCAACACACAUCACGCUCGCUUACGUUUUUCCAAGGCGUGCCUACGCGGAGACGUUCAGCCAUGUCCAUCCCAUCAAUGUCACGCUUUAUGCUGAAAGAAGGGAGGGUAUUACGUAUGUCUGUUCCUUGAAGACUGAAAAUCUUACAUAUUCCAGAGAAGGCAGUGAAGAAAUGACUUCCUGGAGAUCUUUUAUAAGCUUCUGUCUCAAACGCCUGCCUUGCUACCAUGCUUCGUCGCUUGUAUUCCUCUUUCUCUUUGAGGCACAAAGGAGGAAAGUCUGACCUUCUCCCACCUGUUUGAGUUUUUCCUUUGUGUGACAGGGUCCAAGAGACUAAUAGGAAGGCUGGAAUAGUUGGCUGAUGCAGUCAUCUCCCCUUACACGUUUUCUUCCCAGCAAGGUUCCCUUUUUGCCUGUUUUGUUUCUGUUGAGAUGAGUGGAGAGGCAAUACUGAAGCAUACCCGAGCUCACUGCAAUAUGGAAAUAUCUCACUCAAAGCCAAGAUGAAAUAUGUCCUGAGAAAGAAACAGUGGGCACAAAAUGUUCCGAAUAAGUAAGCCCAUUAAGAACUUCUAUUUAACCUUGGGUAUGUUCUUGGUUUUGGGUAUUAAAAUAUUCAUGAGCUCUCCACUAAUGAAAAUUUAGAGAAGAAAAGAAAAAAAAAGUCAAGUGGCCUUAGGCAGGAAAAUCUGCAGCCUUGCAGGAAAGAAGCUGGCAAUUUAUUAAUGGUGCACAGAUUAUCAAACAGUAAAACUGAUGCAGAAAGAAAAUGCAGAAUUAUUGUUCGAAUCUGCCAUCCACAAAUCCUGCUGAUUUACACAGUGGUCAGAGUGAAGCCAAAAGAGGUCAUGAAAAUGUUAAUAUAUGCAAACAGAAACCUUCUGCAUCUUUACUGACAAAGCACUCAGGAUAGGAAGGGGAAUAGGCACAUGGUCAGGUCUUGGAAAGCGCAUGUGCGUUUUGCUGUAACAUCUUACAAGAAGAAAAUCCUUUGAUUGGAGCUUUGCAGAAACGGAAACAUUUUC